CUUCAGCGAGCCGAGCCACAGCGGCGGCCGGCCGUCCCGGCCCGCGCCGUACGCGUCGAGCAGCGCCUGCGCCUC
RNAcentral lists this antisense RNA (75 nucleotides) under Streptomyces sp. NRRL F-6491. RNAcentral describes it as "ASpks sRNA". It matches the Rfam family "ASpks TB sRNA". The record is from RNAcentral. Lineage: Bacteria; Bacillati; Actinomycetota; Actinomycetes; Kitasatosporales; Streptomycetaceae. RNAcentral also lists the same sequence under 1 other name.